Non-coding RNA from Myotis lucifugus (little brown bat), 75 nucleotides. The record is from Rfam. NCBI's taxonomy places the organism in Eukaryota, Metazoa, Chordata, Mammalia, Chiroptera, Vespertilionidae.
GGCGGUUCUCAGGUGACACACCCUGGAAUUGUGUUCCCUCCUCUCUGGUUCUGGGUGCAUCACCCAAGAACUACA